UCGAACGGUUAAAGCACCUUCGGGUGUGUAUAGAGUGGCGAACGGCUGAGUAACACGUGGGCAACCUGCCCUUUGCAUCGGGACAGCCUCGGGAAACCGUGGUUAAUACCGGAUACUCCAUCUUUCUCACAUGAAAAAGAUGGGAAAGUGUUUAGCGGCAAGGGAUGGGCCCGCGCCCUGUUAGCUUGUUGGUGGGGUAAAAGCCUACCAAGGCAAUGAUGGGUAGCCGGGUUGAGAGACCGACCGGCCAGAUUGGGACUGAGACACGGCCCAGACUCCUACGGGAGGCAGCAGUGGGGAAUCUUGCACAAUGGGCGAAAGCCUGAUGCAGCGACGCCGCGUGCGGGAUGAAGGCCUUCGGGUUGUAAACCGCUUUCAGCAGGGACGAGGCGAAAGUGACGGUACCUGUAGAAGAAGCCCCGGCUAACUACGUGCCAGCAGCCGCGGUAAUACGUAGGGGGCAAGCGUUAUCCGGAUUCAUUGGGCGUAAAGCGCGCGUAGGCUGCCCAGUAGGUCGAGAGUUAAAUCCGGGGGCUCAACCCCCGUCCGCUCCCGAUACCGCUGGGCUUCGAGUCUGGUAGGGGAAAGGUGGAAUUCCCAGUGUAGCGGUGGAAUGCGCAGAUAUUGGGAAGAACACCGGUGGCGAAGGCGGCCUUCUGGGCCAUGACUGACGCUGAGGCGCGAAAGCUAGGGUAGCGAACAGGAUU
RNAcentral lists this ribosomal RNA (707 nucleotides) under uncultured Olsenella sp. RNAcentral's name for it is "bacterial SSU rRNA". It matches the Rfam family "Bacterial small subunit ribosomal RNA", at positions 62 to 779 of the family's 1533-position model. Lineage: Bacteria; Bacillati; Actinomycetota; Coriobacteriia; Coriobacteriales; Atopobiaceae. The record is from RNAcentral.